Molecule: ribosomal RNA, 467 nt
Filed under: uncultured bacterium
Lineage: Bacteria
Description: partial 16S ribosomal RNA
Rfam family: Bacterial small subunit ribosomal RNA
Source: RNAcentral
GAUGAACGCUGGCGGCGUGCUUAACACAUGCAAGUCGAACGGAAAGGCCCAAGCUUGCUUGGGUACUCGAGUGGCGAACGGGUGAGUAACACGUGGGUGAUCUGCCCUGCACUUCGGGAUAAGCCUGGGAAACUGGGUCUAAUACUGGAUAGGACCACUUCUUGGAUGUUGUGGUGGAAAGUUUUUUCGGUGUGGGAUGAGCUCGCGGCCUAUCAGCUUGUUGGUGGGGUAAUGGCCUACCAAGGCGUCGACGGGUAGCCGGCCUGAGAGGGUGUACGGCCACAUUGGGACUGAGAUACGGCCCAGACUCCUACGGGAGGCAGCAGUGGGGAAUAUUGCACAAUGGGCGCAAGCCUGAUGCAGCGACGCCGCGUGGGGGAUGACGGCCUUCGGGUUGUAAACUCCUUUCGCUAGGGACGAAGCGUUUUGUGACGGCACCUGGAGAAGAAGCACCGGCUAACUACGUG